UACGUAGGGGGCAAGCGUUGUCCGGAUUUAUUGGGCGUAAAGAGCGUGUAGGCGGCCAUACAGGUCCGUUGUGAAAACUGGAGGCUUAACCUCCAGACGUCGAUGGAAACCGUAUGGCUAGAGUCCGGAAGAGGAGAGUGGAAUUCCUGGUGUAGCGGUGAAAUGCGCAGAUAUCAGGAAGAACACCCGUGGCUAAGGCGGUUCUCUAGUACGGUACUGACGCUGAGACGCGAAAGCGUGGGGAGCGAACAGG
This 253-nucleotide ribosomal RNA is filed under the name uncultured bacterium. Its description in RNAcentral is "partial 16S ribosomal RNA". It matches the Rfam family "Bacterial small subunit ribosomal RNA", at positions 524 to 776 of the family's 1533-position model. The record is from RNAcentral.